This 443-nucleotide ribosomal RNA is filed under the name uncultured bacterium. Its description in RNAcentral is "bacterial SSU rRNA". It matches the Rfam family "Bacterial small subunit ribosomal RNA", at positions 958 to 1402 of the family's 1533-position model. The record is from RNAcentral.
AACGCGAAGAACCUUACCUACCUUUGACAUCCUCAGAAUUUGCAAGAGAUUGCGAAGUGCCGAAAGGAACUGAGAGACAGGUGCUGCAUGGCUGUCGUCAGCUCGUGUCGUGAGAUGUUGGGUUAAGUCCCGUAACGAGCGCAACCCCUGUAUUUAAUUGCCAUCAGGUAAAGCUGGGUACAUUAAAUAGACUGCCGGUGAUAAACCGGAGGAAGGUGGGGAUGACGUCAAGUCCUCAUGGCCCUUAUAGGUAGGGCUACACACGUGCUACAAUGGUCAGUACAGAGGGAAGCGAAGUCGCGAGAUGGAGCAAAGCUCACAAAAACUGAUCGUAGUCCGGAUUGGAGUCUGCAACUCGACUCCAUGAAGCUGGAAUCGCUAGUAAUCGCGGAUCAGAACGCUGCGGUGAAUACGUUCCCGGGCCUUGUACACACCGGACACGC